GUAGAGAUGGGGUUUCGCCAUGUUAGCCAGUAUGGUCUCGAUCUCCUGACCUCGUGAUCUGCCUGCCUGGGCCUCCCAAAGUGCUGGGAUUACAGGCAUACGGAUCAGGCUGUGAUAUUGUUAUUUUGGCAAAUGACUUUGAAUGUGUACAGAUCAUUCCUGGUGCUAAGCAUGGAAACAUCCAAGUCAGCUGUGUGGAGUGUUCUAACCAACAAGGAAGAAUUGCAGCUUCAUAUGGUAAUGCUGUUUGUAUAUUUGAGCCCUUGGGCAUAAAUUCUCAUAAAAGAAAUUGUCAACUCAAGUGCCAGUGGCUUAAAACUGGGCAGUUUUUUUUGAGUUCUGUGACAUACAACUUAGCAUGGGAUCCUCAAGAUAAUAGAUUGUUGACAGCAACUGAUUCUAUUCAGUUGUGGGCUCCUCCAGGAGAUGAUAUUCUGGAAGAGGAGGAAGAAAUUGAUAAUACAAUUCCUCCUGUUUUAAAUGAUUGGAAGUGUGUCUGGCAGUGCAAAACCUCAGUAUCUGUACAUUUGAUGGAAUGGUCUCCUGAUGGUGAAUAUUUUGCUACUGCUGGAAAGGAUGAUUGUCUUUUGAAAGUGUGGUAUCCUAUGACUGGUUGGAAGUCUUCAAUUAUACCUCAGGAUCAUCAUGAAGU
RNAcentral lists this small RNA (652 nucleotides) under Pan troglodytes (chimpanzee). RNAcentral's name for it is "processed transcript". Lineage: Eukaryota; Metazoa; Chordata; Mammalia; Primates; Hominidae. The record is from RNAcentral.